RNAcentral lists this unclassified non-coding RNA (283 nucleotides) under uncultured Paraglomus. RNAcentral describes it as "sequence contains 18S rRNA gene". It matches the Rfam family "Eukaryotic small subunit ribosomal RNA", at positions 569 to 861 of the family's 1831-position model. The record is from RNAcentral. Lineage: Eukaryota; Fungi; Glomeromycota; Glomeromycetes; Paraglomerales; Paraglomeraceae.
AGCAGCCGCGGUAAUUCCAGCUCCAAUAGCGUAUAUUAAAGUUGUUGCAGUUAAAAGCUCGUAGUUGAAUUUCGGGAUCAAUUAAUCGGUCGUGCCUCUGGUACGCACUGGUUUUAUUGGUUUCUCCCUUUUGACGGACCAGGAUGUCAUUAAUUUGGUGUCUUGGAGAAUCAGGACUGUUACUUUGAAAAAUUAGAGUGUUUAAAGCAGGCUAACGCUUGAAUACAUUAGCAUGGAAUAAUGAAAUAGGACGUUUGAUCCUAUUUGUGUUUCUAGGAUCGAC